This 570-nucleotide ribosomal RNA is filed under the name Dialister propionicifaciens. RNAcentral describes it as "bacterial SSU rRNA". It matches the Rfam family "Bacterial small subunit ribosomal RNA", at positions 54 to 586 of the family's 1533-position model. The record is from RNAcentral. Lineage: Bacteria; Bacillati; Bacillota; Negativicutes; Veillonellales; Veillonellaceae.
CAUGCUAGUCCGGACGGGGAAGAGAUGAAGAGCUUGCUCUUUAUCGAAUCCAGUGGCAAACGGAGUGAGUAACACGUAAACAACCUGCCUUUAGGAUGGGGACAACAGACGGAAACGACUGCUAAUACCGAAUGCGUUCCACGGGCCGCAUGACCUGUGGAAGAAAGGGUAGCCUCUACCUGUAAGCUAUCGCCUGAAGAGGGGUUUGCGUCUGAUUAGGCAGUUGGUGGGGUAACGGCCCACCAAACCAACGAUCAGUAGCCGGUCUGAGAGGAUGAACGGCCACACUGGAACUGAGACACGGUCCAGACUCCUACGGGAGGCAGCAGUGGGGAAUCUUCCGCAAUGGACGAAAGUCUGACGGAGCAACGCCGCGUGAGUGAAGACGGCCUUCGGGUUGUAAAGCUCUGUGAUCCGGGACGAAAGAGCCUGAGGUAAAUAGCCUAAGGAAGUGACGGUACCGGAAAAGCAAGCCACGGCUAACUACGUGCCAGCAGCCGCGGUAAUACGUAGGUGGCAAGCGUUGUCCGGAAUUUAUUGGGCGUAAAGCGCGCGCAGGCGGCUUCCUAA